Molecule: ribosomal RNA, 393 nt
Filed under: Triticum aestivum (bread wheat)
Lineage: Eukaryota; Viridiplantae; Streptophyta; Magnoliopsida; Poales; Poaceae
Description: partial small subunit ribosomal RNA
Source: RNAcentral
GUUAAAGACAUACUUGUUGCUCCUCAUCUAGUCCAAAACUUACUUUCUGUUCGCAAGCUUACUACUGACAACUGGGUUUCUGUUGAGUUUGAUCCCUUUGGUCUCACUGUGAAGGAUCUGGCAACACAGGCAGUGAUCGCUCGGUGCAAUAGCCUUGGUGAUUUAUAUCCAUUCCAUGAUGCUUCCACCUCCACCCGCGCGGUUACCUACAUCGCCUUUGUAAACUUGUGGCAUCGCCGCUUAGGCCAUCCAAAUCAUGCCAUUGUAUCUAGUUUACUUACUGAAUUUUCCAUUCCUAUUUGUAAAGCUGACCAUGAACCGGCUCUCUGUGAUGCCUGUCAACGUGGAAAGCAUGUUAGAGUGCCUUUUUCUUCUUCCUUGACAUCCACUUCG